This 459-nucleotide ribosomal RNA is filed under the name uncultured bacterium. Its description in RNAcentral is "partial 16S ribosomal RNA". It matches the Rfam family "Bacterial small subunit ribosomal RNA", at positions 338 to 795 of the family's 1533-position model. The record is from RNAcentral.
CCUACGGGGGGCUGCAGUGAGGAAUAUUGGUCAAUGGCCGGAAGGCUGAACCAGCCAAGCCGCGUGAAGGACGAAGGUGCCAAGCGUUGUAAACUUCUUUUGUCAAGGGACAAAAUCAGGCUCGAGAGCCUGACCGAGGGUACUUGAUGAAAAAGCAUCGGCUAACUCCGUGCCAGCAGCCGCGGUAAUACGGAGGAUGCGAGCGUUAUCCGGAUUUAUUGGGUUUAAGGGGAGCGUAGAGGGGCUGUUAAGUCAGUGGUAAAAGUUCGGGGCUCAACCCAGGCGAGCCGUUGAAACUGGCUGUCUUGAGAUGUCGAGAGGUAUGCGGAAUGCGCAGUGUAGCGGUGAAAUGCUUAGAUAUUGCGCAGAACUCCGAUUGCGAAGGCAGCAUACCGGCGGCGAUCUGACGCUGAGGCACGAAAGCGUGGGUAUCGAACAGGAUUAGAUACCCGUGUAGUC